UACGUAGGGACCAAGCGUUGUUCGGAUUUACUGGGCGUAAAGGGCGCGUAGGCGGCGUGGUAAGUCACCUGUGAAAUCUCUGAGCUUAACUCAGAACGGCCAAGUGAUACUGCUGUGCUAGAGUGCAGAAGGGGCAAUCGGAAUUCUUGGUGUAGCGGUGAAAUGCGUAGAUAUCAAGAGGAACACCUGAGGUGAAGACGGGUUGCUGGGCUGACACUGACGCUGGGGCGCGAAAGCCAGGGGAGCAAACGGG
RNAcentral lists this ribosomal RNA (253 nucleotides) under uncultured bacterium. RNAcentral's name for it is "partial 16S ribosomal RNA". It matches the Rfam family "Bacterial small subunit ribosomal RNA", at positions 524 to 776 of the family's 1533-position model. The record is from RNAcentral.